UACGUAGGGGGCGAGCGUUGUCCGGAAUUACUGGGCGUAAAGGGCACGUAGGCGGUUCGUCGUGUCGCCUGUGAAAUCCCAUGGCCCAACUGUGGGGGGUCAGGCGAAACUAGCGGACUUGAGGGAGGCAGAGGGAAGCGGAAUUCCCGGAGUAGUGGUGAAAUGCGUAGAUACCGGGAGGAACACCAGUGGCGAAGGCGGCUUCCUGGGCUUUUCCUGACGCUGAGGUGCGAAGGCGUGGGGAG
Molecule: ribosomal RNA, 245 nt
Filed under: uncultured bacterium
Lineage: Bacteria
Description: partial 16S ribosomal RNA
Rfam family: Bacterial small subunit ribosomal RNA
Source: RNAcentral